This 449-nucleotide ribosomal RNA is filed under the name uncultured bacterium. RNAcentral describes it as "partial 16S ribosomal RNA". It matches the Rfam family "Bacterial small subunit ribosomal RNA", at positions 338 to 795 of the family's 1533-position model. The record is from RNAcentral.
CCUACGGGAGGCUGCAGUAAGGAAUAUUGGUCAAUGGACGAAAGUCUGAACCAGCCAUGCCGCGUGGAGGAUGAAGGUCCUCUGGAUUGUAAACUUCUUUUAUAUGGGACGAAAAAAGGCCUUUCCAGGUCGUCUGACGGUACCAUAUGAAUAAGCACCGGCUAACUCCGUGCCAGCAGCCGCGGUAAUACGGAGGGUGCAAGCGUUAUCGGGAUUCAGUGGGUUUAAGGGGGGCGGUGGUUCGUUGGUAAAAUCCCCGAGCUUAACUUGGGAACUGCCAUUGAUACUAUCAGUCUUGAAUACCGUGGAGGUCAGCGGAAUAUGUCAUGUAGCGGUGAAAUGCUUAGAUAUGACAUAGAACACCAAUUGCGAAGGCAGCUGGCUACACGAGUAUUCACACUGAGGCACGAAAGCGUGGGGAUCAAACAGGAUUAGAUACCCCAGUAGUC